RNAcentral lists this ribosomal RNA (824 nucleotides) under uncultured Actinomycetes bacterium. RNAcentral's name for it is "bacterial SSU rRNA". It matches the Rfam family "Bacterial small subunit ribosomal RNA", at positions 61 to 896 of the family's 1533-position model. The record is from RNAcentral. Lineage: Bacteria; Bacillati; Actinomycetota; Actinomycetes.
GUCGAACGGAAAGGCCUGCAGCUUGCUGCGGGUACUCGAGUGGCGAACGGGUGAGUAACACGUGGGUGAUCUGCCUUGCACUUCGGGAUAAGCUUGGGAAACUGGGUCUAAUACCGGAUAGGACAGCUGUUUAGUGUCAGUUGUGGAAAGUUUUUUCGGUGCAAGAUGAGCUCGCGGCCUAUCAGCUUGUUGGUGGGGUAAUGGCCUACCAAGGCGUCGACGGGUAGCCGGCCUGAGAGGGUGUACGGCCACAUUGGGACUGAGAUACGGCCCAGACUCCUACGGGAGGCAGCAGUGGGGAAUAUUGCACAAUGGGCGGAAGCCUGAUGCAGCGACGCCGCGUGGGGGAUGAAGGCCUUCGGGUUGUAAACUCCUUUCGACAGGGACGAAGCGUAAGUGACGGUACCUGUAUAAGAAGCACCGGCUAACUACGUGCCAGCAGCCGCGGUAAUACGUAGGGUGCGAGCGUUGUCCGGAAUUACUGGGCGUAAAGAGCUCGUAGGUGGUUUGUCGCGUCGUCUGUGAAAUUCCGGGGCUUAACUCCGGGCGUGCAGGCGAUACGGGCUGACUUGAGUGCUGUAGGGGAGACUGGAAUUCCUGGUGUAGCGGUGAAAUGCGCAGAUAUCAGGAGGAACACCGAUGGCGAAGGCAGGUCUCUGGGCAGUAACUGACGCUGAGGAGCGAAAGCAUGGGUAGCGAACAGGAUUAGAUACCCUGGUAGUCCAUGCCGUAAACGGUGGGCGCUAGGUGUAGGGGGCUUCCACGUCUUCUGUGCCGUAGCUAACGCAUUAAGCGCCCCGCCUGGGGAGUACGCCGCAAGGCUA